Molecule: small nucleolar RNA, 62 nt
Filed under: Marmota marmota marmota (Alpine marmot)
Lineage: Eukaryota; Metazoa; Chordata; Mammalia; Rodentia; Sciuridae
Also listed under: 1 other name
Description: Small nucleolar RNA Z39 (ENSMMMG00000010731.1)
Rfam family: Small nucleolar RNA Z39
About the family: Z39 is a member of the C/D class of snoRNA which contain the C (UGAUGA) and D (CUGA) box motifs.
Source: Rfam by way of RNAcentral
UUGCGCAUGAUGAAGCAAAUCAGUAUGAAUAAGUUCAUGAUAUGUAAAAAUUCUCUGAUGUA